AAGAUCUAUACUUUCAGGGAUCAUUUCUAUAGUGCGUUACUUUGAGAAAUGUGUGUAUAAAGUGGUAGACUCUCGCUAUCCAUGAUGACGAUUUCAAGAUAUUCCCAUUCAGAGCAUGAAUCUGGUGGCUAGAAAUGACCUUGCUCAUUUUUCUUCCACCUUUGAUGACUGUUCCUUGUUCUUCAAUGAAUGUGGAUGAAGGGAAUAUGUUCUGAGUGGAU
Small nucleolar RNA from Oncorhynchus mykiss (rainbow trout), 221 nucleotides. Lineage: Eukaryota; Metazoa; Chordata; Actinopteri; Salmoniformes; Salmonidae. The record is from Ensembl.